Molecule: small nucleolar RNA, 177 nt
Filed under: Microsporum canis CBS 113480
Lineage: Eukaryota; Fungi; Ascomycota; Eurotiomycetes; Onygenales; Arthrodermataceae
Source: RNAcentral
CGUCGGGCUGAUAACUAGGCGGUUGUUUCGAUUUUAACCCACUCUACAACGUCCGCCCUUUAAGUGUCCGAUAGAUUGAAAUAUUUCAUAUUGGCGACGAUCUUACAAGUUUCUUGUCCCAAAGCUUUUGCCUUUGGUCCCUCAGUGAUUUGCAACGUUUAAUUCAUCGCCACACCU